This 717-nucleotide ribosomal RNA is filed under the name uncultured bacterium. RNAcentral describes it as "bacterial SSU rRNA". It matches the Rfam family "Bacterial small subunit ribosomal RNA", at positions 220 to 932 of the family's 1533-position model. The record is from RNAcentral.
UGAAGAAGAGCUUGCGUCUGAUUAGCUAGUUGGUGGGGUAAGAGCCUACCAAGGCGACGAUCAGUAGCUGGUCUGAGAGGAUGAGCAGCCACACUGGUACUGAGACACGGACCAGACUCCUACGGGAGGCAGCAGUGAGGAAUAUUGCGCAAUGGACGAAAGUCUGGCGCAGCCAUGCCGCGUGCAGGAUUGAAGGCCCUAUGGGUUGUAAACUGCUUUUGUACGGGAAUAAACGCUCCUACGUGUAGGAGCCUGAAGGUACCGUAAGAAUAAGCACCUGCUAACUCCGUGCCAGCAGCCGCGGUAAUACGGAGGGUGCAAGCGUUAUCCGGAUUUAUUGGGUUUAAAGGGUCCGUAGGCGGGCCGUUAAGUCAGUGGUGAAAGCCCACAGCUCAACUGUGGAAUUGCCAUUGAUACUGGCGGUCUUGAGUAUGUAUGAAGUUGGCGGAAUGUGUGGUGUAGCGGUGAAAUGCUUAGAUAUCACACAGAACACCGAUUGCGAAGGCAGCUGGCUAAUACAUAACUGACGCUGAGGGACGAAAGUGUGGGGAUCAAACAGGAUUAGAUACCCUGGUAGUCCACACCGUAAACGAUGGAUACUAGGCGUGGNUUGUAUCGACCCGAGCCGUGCCGAANCUAACGCGUUAAGUAUCCCGCCUGGGGAGUACGCACGCAAGUGUGAAACUCAANGGAAUUGACGGGGGCCCGCACAAGCGG